UCUCCGUAGGUGAACCUGCGGAGGGAUCAUUACUGAGUGAGGGCUCACGCCCGACCUCCAACCCUUUGUGAACCAAACUUGUUGCUUCGGGGGCGACCCUGCCGUUUCGACGGCGAGCGCCCCCGGAGGCCUUCAAACCCUGCGUAACUAAGUCGUCGGAGUUUAAACAAAUAAACAAAACUUUCAACAACGGAUCUCUUGGUUCUGGCAUCGAUGAAGAACGCAGC
RNAcentral lists this unclassified non-coding RNA (227 nucleotides) under uncultured fungus. RNAcentral describes it as "sequence contains ITS1, 5.8S rRNA gene". The stretch from base 179 to 227 matches the Rfam family "5.8S ribosomal RNA", at positions 1 to 49 of the family's 154-position model. Lineage: Eukaryota; Fungi. The record is from RNAcentral.